Ovis aries (sheep) is the source of this 73-nucleotide transfer RNA. It matches the Rfam family "tRNA". Rfam says of the family: Transfer RNA (tRNA) molecules are approximately 80 nucleotides in length. Their secondary structure includes four short double-helical elements and three loops (D, anti-codon, and T loops). The record is from Rfam. NCBI's taxonomy places the organism in Eukaryota, Metazoa, Chordata, Mammalia, Artiodactyla, Bovidae.
UCCCUGGUGGUCCAGUGCUUAAGACUCCGCACUUCCACUGCAGUGGGCCCAGGUUCGAUCCCUGGUUGGGGAA